GGAACCUGAUGAUUUGAAUGGGCUGGUAGAAGGAAGAAAAUGGCUUUGGAAAAGUAUAAGUGGAUUUAUUUUCUCAUCUCCUGAAUGGCCACCACAUCCAACAUACAGGACCUCAUCUAAUCUUCACAACAGAGAGUGAGAGAGGUAUUAUCAUCAGCCCGUUUCACAGAUGAGGAAGCUGAGGCACAGAAAGUUAAGUGACACAUCAAGAUCCACUACAGAAACUAUAGAUUAGAUAAGCCCGGGUAUGAACACUGC
This is a long non-coding RNA of Nannospalax galili (Upper Galilee mountains blind mole rat), 258 nucleotides long. RefSeq lists it as uncharacterized. The record is from RefSeq and is a predicted model, not a curated record. The transcript is spliced from 3 exons. NCBI's taxonomy places the organism in Eukaryota, Metazoa, Chordata, Mammalia, Rodentia, Spalacidae.